UUGCUCGAGUGGCGAACGGGUGAGUAACACGUGAGUAACCUGCCCUUGACUUUGGGAUAACUUCAGGAAACUGGGGCUAGUACCGGAUAGGAGCUCCUGCUGCAUGGUGGGGGUUGGAAAGUUUCGGCGGUUGGGGAUGGACUCGCGGCUUAUCAGCUUGUUGGUGGGGUAGUGGCUUACCAAGGCUUUGACGGGUAGCCGGCCUGAGAGGGUGACCGGCCACAUUGGGACUGAGAUACGGCCCAG
RNAcentral lists this ribosomal RNA (246 nucleotides) under uncultured bacterium. Its description in RNAcentral is "partial 16S ribosomal RNA". It matches the Rfam family "Bacterial small subunit ribosomal RNA", at positions 87 to 334 of the family's 1533-position model. The record is from RNAcentral.